This 319-nucleotide long non-coding RNA is filed under the name Prunus persica (peach). RNAcentral's name for it is "long non-coding RNA (PPER_LNC004930)". The record is from RNAcentral. Lineage: Eukaryota; Viridiplantae; Streptophyta; Magnoliopsida; Rosales; Rosaceae.
CCGUCGGCUAAUCUUCCUUCUGCCCAGUUACCUACGCUACCUCGGGUGUCUCAACCUCGCCCAUGGCAGCUCCUUCAAUUGAUGAUUCUCUUACUGUUCUCUCUCACUUAUCCAUUCCAGAGUCUGCUGACUGUGAAGGUAACUAGGGAAAAUCUUUAGUGCUUUCUGACCAACAAGAUACAGGUUGGAUUAUCGAUUCUACUACUACUGAUCAUAUGACCUAUGAUAGAUCAUUUUUUCAUUCUAUGACUGCUCCUACCAAAACAAGUGUGGUUACUGCCAACUGUGAAUCUAACUCAGUCACUGCAGCUGGUUCCAU